Molecule: ribosomal RNA, 498 nt
Filed under: uncultured bacterium
Lineage: Bacteria
Description: partial 16S ribosomal RNA
Rfam family: Bacterial small subunit ribosomal RNA
Source: RNAcentral
GACGAACGCUGGCGGCGUGCCUAAUACAUGCAAGUCGAACGAGAGCGCCCGGUGCUUGCACUGGUCAAUCUAGUGGCGAACGGGUGAGUAACACGUGGGUAACCUGCCCAUCAGAGGGGGAUAACAUCCGGAAACGGAUGCUAAAACCGCAUAGGUCUUCGAGCCGCAUGGCUUGAAGAGGAAAAGAGGCGCAAGCUUCUGCUGAUGGAUGGACCCGCGGUGCAUUAGCUAGUUGGUGAGGUAACGGCUCACCAAGGCCGUGAUGCAUAGCCGACCUGAGAGGGUGAUCGGCCACAUGGGAACUGAGACACGGCCCAGACUCCUACGGGAGGCAGCAGUAGGGAAUCUUCCGCAAUGGGCGAAAGUCUGACGGAGCAACGCCGCGUGAGUGAAGAAGGUUUUCGGAUCGUAAAACUCUGUUGUUAGAGAAGAACAAGUGCUAGAGUAACUGUUAGCGCCUUGACGGUAUCUAACCAGAAAGCCACGGCUAACUACGUG